This 347-nucleotide small RNA is filed under the name human gut metagenome. RNAcentral describes it as "transfer-messenger RNA". It matches the Rfam family "transfer-messenger RNA". Rfam says of the family: Bacterial tmRNA, also known as 10Sa RNA or SsrA, is named for its dual tRNA and mRNA-like properties. Its role is to liberate the mRNA from a stalled ribosome. The record is from RNAcentral.
GGGGGUGUACCGGUUUCGACGGGGGUACAGAAGCAGGAAUAGCGAGCGAGUGCGCCCAGCACUCUCAAAAUGGGCACUUUAUAAAUUAAAGAACAACAACAAUCCUGUUCUCGCCGCUGCUUAAUGCGGCCGUCCUGCCCGGAAGGACCACGAGCCGGGUCUGGGCGUGAUCUAGUGGUGCCCGUGAGUACGGUAAGAGUUGCCCGUGCCACGCAUCAUGACUCUACCAAGCGCAGUGAGUGUGACGGCUCACGCCUGCGUAAGGGAAUGUAAAUAACCGUCUGCGCUCGGAGAAGUUCCUGUGGAAGGACUUUCGGACAGGGGUUCAACUCCCCUCACCUCCACCA